Molecule: ribosomal RNA, 475 nt
Filed under: uncultured bacterium
Lineage: Bacteria
Description: SSU rRNA
Rfam family: Bacterial small subunit ribosomal RNA
Source: RNAcentral
AGGACGAACGCUGGCGGCGUGCUUAACACAUGCAAGUCGAGCGAGGCUCCUCCUUCGGGAGGUGCCCUAGCGGCGAACGGGUGAGUAACACGUGGGCAACCUGCCCCUAGCACUGGGAUAACCCCGGGAAACCGGGGCUAAUACCGGAUACGACAAGAGAAGGCAUCUCCUCUUGUGGAAAGGGUUUCUGGCUAGGGAUGGACCCGCGGCCUAUCAGCUUGUUGGUGGGGUAAUGGCCUACCAAGGCGACGACGGGUAGCCGGCCUGAGAGGGUGACCGGCCACACUGGGACUGAGACACGGCCCAGACUCCUACGGGAGGCAGCAGUGGGGAAUAUUGGACAAUGGGCGAAAGCCUGAUCCAGCAACGCCGCGUGAGGGAUGACGGCCUCGGGUUGUAAACCUCUUCAGCAGGGACGAAGCGCAAGUGACGGUACCUGCAGAGAAGCACCGGCCAACUACGUGCCAGCAGCCGC